GGAGAGGUGGCAGAGCGGUUGAAUGCACUGGUCUUGAAAACCAGCAUAGGUUUGUAGCCUAUCGUGGGUUCGAAUCCCACCCUCUCCGCCA
This 91-nucleotide transfer RNA is filed under the name Gammaproteobacteria bacterium. RNAcentral's name for it is "tRNA-Ser". It matches the Rfam family "tRNA". From Rfam's summary of the family: Transfer RNA (tRNA) molecules are approximately 80 nucleotides in length. Their secondary structure includes four short double-helical elements and three loops (D, anti-codon, and T loops). Further hydrogen bonds mediate the characteristic L-shaped molecular structure. tRNAs have two regions of fundamental functional importance: the anti-codon, which is responsible for specific mRNA codon recognition, and the 3' end, to which the tRNAs corresponding amino acid is attached (by aminoacyl-tRNA synthetases). tRNAs cope with the degeneracy of the genetic code in two manners: having more than one tRNA (with a specific anti-codon) for a particular amino acid; and 'wobble' base-pairing, i.e. permitting non-standard base-pairing at the 3rd anti-codon position. The record is from RNAcentral. Lineage: Bacteria; Pseudomonadati; Pseudomonadota; Gammaproteobacteria. RNAcentral also lists the same sequence under 2 other names.